GUGCUUCCUUUGGCAACACACACAUUAAAACUUGAACAAUACACAGAUUAGCAUGGCCCUGUCCAAGAAGGACAUGCAAAUUUCUGAGUCAUUCCGUAUUUAU
Small nuclear RNA from Meriones unguiculatus (Mongolian gerbil), 103 nucleotides. The record is from Ensembl. NCBI's taxonomy places the organism in Eukaryota, Metazoa, Chordata, Mammalia, Rodentia, Muridae.